Non-coding RNA from Weissella oryzae SG25, 369 nucleotides. It matches the Rfam family "Bacterial RNase P class B". From Rfam's summary of the family: Ribonuclease P (RNase P) is a ubiquitous endoribonuclease, found in archaea, bacteria and eukarya as well as chloroplasts and mitochondria. The record is from Rfam. NCBI's taxonomy places the organism in Bacteria, Bacillati, Bacillota, Bacilli, Lactobacillales, Lactobacillaceae.
AUUAGUGGGUAAUUGCGUAUCGUUUUUUCGAUAUGAGGAAAGUCCAUGCUCGCACUGGCUGCGAUGCCAGUAGUGUUCGUGCUAGGUGAAAAAAUAAGCCUAGGCAGCUACGAUGUAGUUGACGGCCAACGAAAGGCCUAAGGGAAACUAUGGCUGAUUAGUUGUUAAGGUGCCACAGUGACGAACCACCAAAGAAAUGCGGUGGGUGGAACGCGGUAAACCCCUCGAGCGGGCAACCCAAACUUUGGUAGGGGCGCUUGACCUAGUAAACUGAAAUGAUGGUCGGGGAGGCAGUAAUGCCUGAGAUAGAUGAUUGCCACCAAAGUUGAAUCGCCAAUUCAGCUUUGGAACAAAACAUGGCUUAUAGCU